Molecule: ribosomal RNA, 473 nt
Filed under: uncultured bacterium
Lineage: Bacteria
Description: bacterial SSU rRNA
Rfam family: Bacterial small subunit ribosomal RNA
Source: RNAcentral
ACUCCUACGGGAGGCAGCAGUAGGGAAUCUUCCACAAUGGACGCAAGUCUGAUGGAGCAACGCCGCGUGAGUGAAGAAGGGUUUCGGCUCGUAAAGCUCUGUUGUUAAAGAAGAACGUGGGUGAAAGUAACUGUUCACCCAGUGACGGUAUUUAACCAGAAAGCCACGGCUAACUACGUGCCAGCAGCCGCGGUAAUACGUAGGUGGCAAGCGUUAUCCGGAUUUAUUGGGCGUAAAGCGAGCGCAGGCGGUCUUUUAAGUCUAAUGUGAAAGCCUUCGGCUCAACCGAAGAAGUGCAUUGGAAACUGGGAGACUUGAGUGCAGAAGAGGACAGUGGAACUCCAUGUGUAGCGGUGAAAUGCGUAGAUAUAUGGAAGAACACCAGUGGCGAAGGCGGCUGUCUGGUCUGUAACUGACGCUGAGGCUCGAAAGCAUGGGUAGCGAACAGGAUUAGAUACCCUGGUAGGAUAGCG